This 241-nucleotide long non-coding RNA is filed under the name Lupinus angustifolius (narrow-leaved blue lupine). RNAcentral describes it as "long non-coding RNA (LANG_LNC003488)". The record is from RNAcentral. Lineage: Eukaryota; Viridiplantae; Streptophyta; Magnoliopsida; Fabales; Fabaceae.
UUUCCUACUUGGCUUCACUUCUCCAACUAUUCCUUUUAGAUUUGGAUGUGAGUGAGACAAUACCAGCCUCAAGACAGCACCAUAAUCACACAAUAACAUACGCUUACAACCUACCACCACCUCUGAGAGAACCUACACGUGGGCUUUGGGGCCCACGACAAGGACUGAACACAACCCCACCUCUGUAACACAACACAAAAAGCCCAUCCCCAUCUUGGAGCCCAUCCUUAUCUGAAGGAUA